CUAAUUGCUGAGAACGGGCAAAGUACUAAAGGAAAAUAGUAAAAGAGAGCAGGGUAUGGUGUGAAACUGUACUAUUAAUUUAGGAAAAAUCCCCCGGGAGCUGGAGACUGAAAUCACAGUAAGUUUUCUCGUAGUUCUGCGUUAAAGAAUAGAGUAUUAUUGUGCUCGAAAUUUAAAACUAUUUAGGUGGUAUUGCGAAUUUAACUUCGUCCUAUUG
Molecule: non-coding RNA, 217 nt
Filed under: Clostridium sp.
Lineage: Bacteria; Bacillati; Bacillota; Clostridia; Eubacteriales; Clostridiaceae
Description: T-box sequence
Rfam family: T-box leader
About the family: Uncharged tRNA acts as the effector for transcription antitermination of genes in the T-box leader family. T-boxes are found upstream of many aminoacyl-tRNA synthetase genes and some amino acid biosynthetic genes usually in Gram-positive bacteria.
Source: RNAcentral